This 468-nucleotide ribosomal RNA is filed under the name uncultured bacterium. RNAcentral describes it as "partial 16S ribosomal RNA". It matches the Rfam family "Bacterial small subunit ribosomal RNA", at positions 28 to 507 of the family's 1533-position model. The record is from RNAcentral.
GACGAACGCUGGCGGCGUGCUUAACACAUGCAAGUCGAACGGAAAGGCCCUGCUUUUGUGGGGUGCUCGAGUGGCGAACGGGUGAGUAACACGUGAGUAACCUGCCCUUGACUUUGGGAUAACUUCAGGAAACUGGGGCUAAUACCGGAUAGGAGCUCCUGCCGCAUGGUGGGGGUUGGAAAGUUUCGACGGUUGGGGAUGGACUCGCGGCUUAUCAGCUUGUUGGUGGGGUAGUGGCUUACCAAGGCUUUGACGGGUAGCCGGCCUGAGAGGGUGACCGGCCACAUUGGGACUGAGAUACGGCCCAGACUCCUACGGGAGGCAGCAGUGGGGAAUAUUGCACAAUGGGCGGAAGCCUGAUGCAGCAACGCCGCGUGCGGGAUGACGGCCUUCGGGUUGUAAACCGCUUUCGCCUGUGACGAAGCGUGAGUGACGGUAAUGGGUAAAGAAGCACCGGCUAACUACGUG